AGCGGCGAGCCGGAGCGCACGGCCCGGCCUUGACUGCCCCGCUCCCGAAUCUGGUUUUCAUAGAGCCGCGCAGUAAUUACCUAAAGCCGUAACUGUCUCCGAAAUUAUUCAUUAAAGUCAUUCCCGGGAAUCUAGCGUCGCGAGAGCCGGCAUUUAUGGCCUUUGCGCCCUCCGAGCGUGACAGCGUCUCUCGCCUUGCGUCCUCGGCGGCCGAGCGCUCAGCAUGGCGAAGAGGAAGGGGGAGACAGGGUUGCUCUCUCUCGCCUUCCCCUCGGUGUAUUUGUUUGCGGGGGCUCAGGCUGCUUUCCCCCUUUUGGCAAAGGAGCGCGAUGCAACCCGGCAGAUACCUUGGGAGCGAGGAGGGUAUUUUGGGGAGUUGCAGUGUUGUGCGGAAGAUCAUGUCUGUGCCCUGUGGUGCUGUCAGCAGUGACAGAUCCCAGAUGCCGUCGCUACUGUAUGGCAGAUUGAGUUUCUCAGCAGAAAACUCUCUCCCUCCCUCCCAAACGUCUUCAAAAACCUUCUCCAGAUACUGCGGGUCACUUCGGCUCAAACGGGGAGAGAAAGGGGGGAAAAAGGCUUUUCCUCUCUCCUCCCUCUCUCUUCCUCCCGCCGGAUCUCUCUGGGGUGCGCGGGGGGCCAUGACCGGGCCCUUGUGCGCCCGGGGGGCUGAGGGGUCCCCUCUCACCCCCGUCCUGCUGGGAGCCCGUCGCCGAGCCCGGGGACCGCCGUGCAGAAAGAGCCUGUCAUUUUAUCUCGGCGUUUCUCGGAACCGCUGAGCGAGCCAGACUCUGCGGCCGCUCCCGCCCUGCUCGGCGGAGCAGCCGCGGCCGGUGCCUUUCCCCUCCUCUGGCCAAGCGCAUCACCGGGAGUGCUCGGGGAAGAUUUGUACUUUUUUUUUUCCCAGAGAAGGGUUUUUCUCGCUGUGUCUUUUGCCUAAGCCAGGUAAGCGAUGCGAGGCUCGGUUCCCCUCCAGCGGCUCGCCCCGUACCGCUCCCUCCCGGGGAGCGCUUGGAGGCUCCUUCCUGGCGGGGCUUUCACCGCCCCGCUCUGGGUACCACCGCCCGGACCCGCCCUGGGCGAGCAGGAGGGCAGGGCGGCAGCGCCGGAGCCUGCAGCUGCUGCCUUCUCUCCCCGGGGCAGCACGGUCAGGGCGAGCGCAGGUUAGCAGGAGCUAACUCUUGGCCAUCCGCUGUCUUCUAUGGCGAGGAGAAACCAACUAUUAUUAUUAUUAUUAUUAUUAUUAUUCCUCCAUCAUCAUCAAUAUCGUUAGAAAAAUCGUUUUCAUUAUUAUCAUCAUCUUUAUUAUUCUUAUUUGUUUGGACCCGAGGUUUAAGAUUUUUUUCAAAUUUCCUCCCUAUCUCCCCCCCC
RNAcentral lists this long non-coding RNA (1368 nucleotides) under Junco hyemalis (dark-eyed junco). Its description in RNAcentral is "lncRNA (ENSJHYG00000010268.1)". The record is from RNAcentral. Lineage: Eukaryota; Metazoa; Chordata; Aves; Passeriformes; Passerellidae.